This 514-nucleotide small RNA is filed under the name Pan troglodytes (chimpanzee). RNAcentral describes it as "processed transcript". Lineage: Eukaryota; Metazoa; Chordata; Mammalia; Primates; Hominidae. The record is from RNAcentral.
ACUCACCGCGUGGCGCACCCCACCCGCGGGCCGCUGAGUGGAUUUUUCCGUGGCGGGGUGUGAAUAGGUCCCGGGGAAAGAGCUUCUUACCGCUCUCCUCCUGGGAAUCCCUCUUACUGCGGUGCGGGACCCAGUUCCUGCGCAGGCCUGGGUCCCGGCUCCCACAGGGGACUACAUCUCCCCGUCUGCCCACGCAGGAGCUCCCUCCCGAGGCCCCCGGGGCGCCCAGAGCAACCUCAAACCCAUUCCGCGCGCGAAGGGGACAGCGCAGCCAGGGCGAAGGCGAGGGACUCCGUGCCUUCCUGCUUUUUCUCCUUUCUUCCAGCAAAGCCUGGGGCCGAGGCUACUCGCGGAGAAUCGAAAAGAGACACAGCUGUGAUCAGUCCCCAGGAUCCCACGCUUCUCAUCGGCUCCUCCCUGCUGGCCACCUGCUCAGUGCACGGAGACCCACCAGGAACCACCGCCGAGGGCCUCUACUGGACCCUCAACGGGCGCCGCCUGCCCCCUGAGCUCU